AUGAAUGAAACGUGAAAAGGGGAUUAGGUUUUAUCAACGUUGUGACUAUUGCCCUUACUCAAAGAGCUUUCUUCUUCCCCUCUCAUAAACUCAGCGGCGCCGAUGACCAUCUUCGAUCUCUUUCUCCAGCAAAACAAAACACGAUGCCGCCAUGAACUGAACUAAGAGCAUCUCUCCCCCUCGCCUCUCAUCUCAAACUCAAACCCUAAUUCGGAUCUCUCUCACUAACCCUAAAUCUAUGAAGCUCCAUUGAAUGCUCUAAGAAGCAUGAAUCAAGUGAAAGCUAUAGGGUUAUCAUUCAAUAGAUCUCGGGCAACGUCAUAGCAUCAAGAAAAGAAGAAAAAGAUAGCGAUUUCUCACACCACAUAGUGAUUUCCCUCUGAUUUCGUCUUGGAAUUAGGGAACAUCAGUUCCAAUAUGAGCUCUCGGUCGAGCAGGCAGACUGCUGUCAGAAGUUACCGGCGUAGACCUUAACCGAAUGCCGACUGAUGAGAAUCGUGACCAGGAAGGACCUUCAACUCAGUUGGAGCCUCAAGUAGUCGAAACUCAAGCCAACAACAACCAGCAACAACCCCCGUUGAUUGAUGUAGAGGCCAUUGAUGAUGAUUUUAUUGAAUCUUCCCCUAGGGCCUUUGCUGAGGGUUUAAAGAAAUCGAAGGUAUACUUUCAAGGGAUUCAAUAGACGACAAUAUAUUUCAAGUUGUUGCAACCCGUUUUUAUGGUAAACCUAUUAGUGCUUAACAGGGGAAGAGUAUUUUGCUUGGUAGGAGAAUUCAUGAUGUGAUUGGUGUUAGGGAGAAGAUGGAGGAUAAAGAAUAGUGGAGGAUUUUGAUAGAAAGUUGUGGUUUUGAAAAUGUGAGUUUCUGAAAUAUGAAUUUCCAUUUUUUAGUGAAUUCAAGGGGUACAGCCUCCCCGGCACGCUUCCGCCUCAAUUGGUUAAGCUUCCAUACCUCAAAGUAGUUGAUUUUGCUUAUAACUACCUAAAUGGUACGAUUCUGAAGGAAUGAGGUUCGAUUGAACUAACUUCAAUCUCGCUACUUGUUAAUCGUUUGUCGGGGGAGAUUCCUAAGGAGUUGGGAAAUAUUACCACUCUAACAUACUUGAACCUUGAAGCAAACCAAUUUUCCGGUCUUGUUCCCGCUGAACUCGGAAGUCUAUUUAACCUGCAGUAUUUGUUUUUAUCAUCCAAUAAAUUGUCUGGGAACUUACCAGUGACAUUUUCUCAGUUACAGAAUUUGACAGAUUUUAGGAUAAACGAUAAUAGUUUCAACGGAAAAAUACCGAGCUUCAUACAGAAUUGGAAACAGCUUCAGAGACUAGAAAUGCAUGCAAGUGGACUGGAGGGACCUAUCCCGUCAAAUAUAUCGCUUUUGACUAAUUUAUCUCGACUGUGGAUUACUGACAUCAAUGGUCCAAGUCAGGAUAUUCCUAUUUUAAGAAACAUGACAGGAAUGAUAA
Molecule: long non-coding RNA, 1458 nt
Organism: Vicia villosa (hairy vetch)
Lineage: Eukaryota; Viridiplantae; Streptophyta; Magnoliopsida; Fabales; Fabaceae
Exons: 11
Source: RefSeq, a predicted model, not a curated record